This 301-nucleotide ribosomal RNA is filed under the name uncultured bacterium. RNAcentral describes it as "partial 16S ribosomal RNA". It matches the Rfam family "Bacterial small subunit ribosomal RNA", at positions 509 to 808 of the family's 1533-position model. The record is from RNAcentral.
CAGUAGCCGCGGUAAUACGUAGGUCCCGAGCGUUGUCCGGAUUUAUUGGGCGUAAAGCGAGCGCAGGCGGUUAGAUAAGUCUGAAGUUAAAGGCUGUGGCUUAACCAUAGUAUGCUUUGGAAACUGUUUAACUUGAGUGCAGAAGGGGAGAGUGGAAUUCCAUGUGUAGCGGUGAAAUGCGUAGAUAUAUGGAGGAACACCGGUGGCGAAAGCGGCUCUCUGGUCUGUAACUGACGCUGAGGCUCGAAAGCGUGGGGAGCAAACAGGAUUAGAUACCCCUGUAGUCCCUGUCUCUUAUACA